GCAUUACAGAUUGUCCGCAAAUAUGACAUCCAGGCCACAGACAAUGAGCCUGUUGAGAUGCUACACUCAGGCACCCUGGUGCCCAGCCGGGAGCUCCCCAUCGCGUUUUGCCAGCGAUAAGAUGCCUCAGACCAAAACAGCCAUUUCAACUUUUCUGCAAGAAUGGUGCUUACGGCUUCUACGUUACCGGAAAGCAAACUUCAACCACCACACCAUACCACAGCUUAUAAAGAAUAUUUAGGCCCAGGUGUUGAUACUUUUUCUUCUGCAAAAUUGUUCCAGAAGAUGUACUGUCUUUCUAGACGGUGGUAUUUGCUAACAUCAUAUCCAACUCAGGGAGCGGACUGAGUGCUGGGAUCCAAGGCAUUCUACAGGGUUCACUGCUGGUUUACACUUCACCUGUAUCAGCACCGUCUUCAGGUGCUUAGAAUGGCCUGGGAGCCUGUUCUGUCUUGCAUCUUCCAUGACAUGAAAGGGAGGCUGGCACUUGUCAAUCAGGUAGAGGUUACGAACCAUUUCAGCCCCUGCCUACCACAUUCACUGUUUGAAUCUUUAAUUCCCAAGAAUAAGUUUACAUUUCACAAUGAAAGACCUACAACAGCUAAAUUUUCUGGGGCUGGAAGUAAUACUGACAAUCCAUUUACUGUAGCUUUGCUUAAUGUACUACUUGGGAAACUGUCCCUGCUUAAUAAU
This 693-nucleotide small RNA is filed under the name Pongo abelii (Sumatran orangutan). Its description in RNAcentral is "processed transcript". The record is from RNAcentral. Lineage: Eukaryota; Metazoa; Chordata; Mammalia; Primates; Hominidae.